RNAcentral lists this long non-coding RNA (501 nucleotides) under Nicotiana tabacum (common tobacco). RNAcentral's name for it is "long non-coding RNA (NTAB_LNC016543)". Lineage: Eukaryota; Viridiplantae; Streptophyta; Magnoliopsida; Solanales; Solanaceae. The record is from RNAcentral.
GAUACUCACUCGCUCUAAUUAAAUAAAGAUAAACUCUUUUAAGCAAUUCGUCAAACACCUUGUAUGCGUGCUUUUGUGAGUUAAACCACUUUAGUAAAGGGUUAUAUCAACUCACCUCAAAACUUCUCGAGCCAAUACGUAGGCCCCAGUCCAAUUGACACCAGUCAAACAAUCGCUUCUACAAUAACCAGUGCAUUCUAAUCAAUUUUUAAAGUACUACACUUAAAUAUGAAAUUUAUUGUUGAUAUGGAGGAAGAAGGGAAUUAACUAUUUCAUUCUUACCUAUUACCACUAUAGGAUAAUUGACAAUAGGGAAAUUUACUUACCUGAGUUCAAGAAUUUUGUGGUUUGUAAAGAAACCUAGAUUUUCUGUUGCCCGGCUCUCUGUUUCGUGAGUGAGUAGGACGUGCUUUUGCCUUCUGUCUUUGUUUACGAGAAUGACAGAACCUAUUUUGCCUUCUGCCCUUUUUUCUAUACGUGACUAACCUUAUUUUCCUAAGG